UGCAACUGUGUCAAAUUCAUUGCUCGCCUAUACCAUGGUGAGGAUUGGUCCAAACAGUUGCCACAGUAAAUAUCUGUAGCUCAUGGGCCACGGAGCUCUUUGUGGGCUCUGGGGAUAGUUUUGCUGCAGACAGGC
Small nucleolar RNA from Euleptes europaea (tarantolino), 135 nucleotides. RefSeq annotates it as small nucleolar RNA SNORA5. The record is from RefSeq and is a predicted model, not a curated record. The transcript has a single exon. NCBI's taxonomy places the organism in Eukaryota, Metazoa, Chordata, Lepidosauria, Squamata, Sphaerodactylidae.